RNAcentral lists this transfer RNA (75 nucleotides) under Candidatus Berkelbacteria bacterium. RNAcentral's name for it is "tRNA-Thr". It matches the Rfam family "tRNA". From Rfam's summary of the family: Transfer RNA (tRNA) molecules are approximately 80 nucleotides in length. Their secondary structure includes four short double-helical elements and three loops (D, anti-codon, and T loops). The record is from RNAcentral. Lineage: Bacteria; Candidatus Berkelbacteria.
GCCGACGUAGCUCAGCGGUAGAGCAGUGCUUUCGUAAAGCAAAGGUCGGGAGUUCAAUUCUCCCCGUCGGCUCCA